Lepisosteus oculatus (spotted gar) is the source of this 639-nucleotide long non-coding RNA. RefSeq lists it as uncharacterized. The record is from RefSeq and is a predicted model, not a curated record. Lineage: Eukaryota; Metazoa; Chordata; Actinopteri; Semionotiformes; Lepisosteidae.
CUCGCUGGAGCUGCUGACGGCUCCGGUUGGUUGGAGGAUGUCUUCGGCCCCGACCGGAGGUGUUCUGGGCAGCCUGAUCUGCAGCGGCUGACACGACAGAGCAAGGCCCAGAAAUGCCGACGGUGCUUCAUUCGAUACAAAGGAGGUGUCUAAACAGGAGGGUCUGGCGACGGCACCAGAAAGUGGCCAGAGAAGAACCUUCAGCCGAGCCCUGGGUUUCAGCUGUGGAACACUGCACUGAUGGGUCUUGACACGAAGCUAUGUAAGUGGUGUGUACCAUAGCCAUGUGUAUGUCCAAAUGAGCUUCCUGUUCGUCUUUCAGAGAGCUGCGAUGCCAAGCAAAUUAAUGCUUUUGGGAUAAAAUAACGGAUGAAUGACAUAAAACUGGAGCCCGUUGGAUGUAAACGUUCAUCCAGCAAUUCUGUCGAGACACUUAAACAUUUAUCAUAGAUUCCUGUCUGUGUGGGUGAGAGACAGGCUGUGAGGCUUCAGCAGUCGAAAGCUUCUGUUUCCAUUAUAUGUCCGGUUUCCAUAAUUCAGUUGACGAAUUUGUGUUCCUGACUACAAAAGCCCACAGAUGCAUAUGACUGCAAUGACUAAAGUUCUCUUUUUUUUCAGAAAAGCAAAAUGUUUUAAUUU